UAACAGGAAGAAGCUUGCUUCUUUGCUGACGAGUGGCGGACGGGUGAGUAAUGUCUGGGAAACUGCCUGAUGGAGGGGGAUAACUACUGGAAACGGUAGCUAAUACCGCAUAACGUCGCAAGACCAAAGAGGGGGACCUUCGGGCCUCUUGCCAUCGGAUGUGCCCAGAUGGGAUUAGCUAGUAGGUGGGGUAACGGCUCACCUAGGCGACGAUCCCUAGCUGGUCUGAGAGGAUGACCAGCCACACUGGAACUGAGACACGGUCCAGACUCCUACGGGAGGCAGCAGUGGGGAAUAUUGCACAAUGGGCGCAAGCCUGAUGCAGCCAUGCCGCGUGUAUGAAGAAGGCCUUAGGGUUGUAAAGUACUUUCAGCGGGGAGGAAGGGAGUAAAGUUAAUACCUUUGCUCAUUGACGUUACCCGCAGAAGAAGCACCGGCUAACUCCGUGCCAGCAGCCGCGGUAAUACGGAGGGUGCAAGCGUUAAUCGGAAUUACUGGGCGUAAAGCGCACGCAGGCGGUUUGUUAAGUCAGAUGUGAAAUCCCCGGGCUCAACCUGGGAACUGCAUCUGAUACUGGCAAGCUUGAGUCUCGUAGAGGGGGGUAGAAUUCCAGGUGUAGCGGUGAAAUGCGUAGAGAUCUGGAGGAAUACCGGUGGCGAAGGCGGCCCCUGGGAGAGAACUGACGCUCAGGUGCGAA
Molecule: ribosomal RNA, 697 nt
Filed under: uncultured Pseudomonadota bacterium
Lineage: Bacteria; Pseudomonadati; Pseudomonadota
Description: bacterial SSU rRNA
Rfam family: Bacterial small subunit ribosomal RNA
Source: RNAcentral